UAAAAAACAACAACCAACAACACAAGAAAAAAGACUUGCUUUGUGUUGAGUCUGAUCUCAGCAAUAUUUCUUGUGGAUACCAACUGGGGCCAGAAAACUACUGCUGCUGAUGACUGUACCCUUUUCCAAGCUAAACCUGUAACAUUUGUGCCUAAAUUAUCAAAUUCUACCAAAGAAAACAACGAAAUCCUUAACAAAGAUCCCUUAACGAACCUCAACAAAAAAGUUGUUGAUCUCAAGUUUGUGGAAGCUUCUGGAAGUGACAAGAACAAUAUUACCACUACCACCACCAACACGACUACGACUGAGGAUGAUGAUGAUGAUGAUGAUGACUAUGAUGAAGAUUUUGCCAGUGAAGACACCAACAGAAGCAGAUUUGAAGGAAAAGUCAAAAUAACUGGUGGCAGUAUUGUUGAAGAAAUCGAAGAAGAACUGGAUCUGUCUCAAGAAUUGUCCAAAAGCGAAAACAGCGAACUUGCUGACCUCACGACAGACAAAACACUUUCUCAACCCGACACACCUUUCGAUUACAUGGAAGAUGUUCUCUCUUCCUAGUAUCUUCUUUUUCUUCUUUAACAUUUAGCUUCUUUCCCUCAUUUCAAUUCAGUCUUUAUUUUCUAAACAUUUAAAAUCCUUUUUUCCCCCCUCAACCGUACACUGCAUGUGUACACACAUAUUUAUAUAUGCACACACACACACACACACACACAUACACACAAAUCUUCAAAUUUUAGAACAAGGCACCAUUCUAUCACUUUUAUUGCUUCGAGCUUUCACUGUUUCUCAAUGAGAGAUGUGGCUACGUAAACAUUUUAACAUACUGCUGCCUGCCUUUUUGUAU
Molecule: long non-coding RNA, 841 nt
Organism: Octopus sinensis (East Asian common octopus)
Lineage: Eukaryota; Metazoa; Mollusca; Cephalopoda; Octopoda; Octopodidae
Exons: 6
Source: RefSeq, a predicted model, not a curated record